GACCCCCAUGUUUCCUAUCCAGUAACCCCAGGCCACGACCUCCUCGCCAGGAACCGACAAAACAAAGACGAGCCUUUAGCGGCCUGAAGACGCGUUCAUGUGCAGACUCCAGGAGCCUGCAGCACUGCAGCACCACCAGAGGGAGGCGCUUAGCUGUUGUUGUUCCCUGUGUUCCAGUGCCAGUCUCCCCCUCUCCCAGCAGAGCCUCCCCUGAGCUCCCAGUCUGCCCGUCCAACAUCCUCCACUGUCACUGACUCUGGGCAGCAGGGGACUGGAUCCAACCCUGCUCCAGCCUCAGCCCUACCUCAUGGCCAUACUCAGAAAGGAGAGAAGGAAACAGAGGAGAUGGGUUUCUCCAGUCCCUAGUGUCUGUGAGGGAUCUCUCUGAGUUUGACAGCCCACCAUCCAGCCAGUACAGCCGAAGCACAGACCUGGGUAGUGGCCUGAGCAGUCCUCUAUGUGGUAUUGUACCUACACUGCUUUGAAGCAAUUGAAGUGAAAUGUAUUCGAUGCUGUUGCAUUCCCCAUGGGCCAAUUAGUUGUUUCAUUUCAUUUAGAAAUUCAGAAUUACUGUAACAGACUUGAAUUUUUAAUUGUUGCCAAGGCUUGCUUUCCUAUCAUGUCAAAUGGAAGGAUAAUUAUUCCAUAUAUCCUUUUUUCUUUUUAUAGCAAAUCUGAGUGACCUGGACUCAGAGGGUGGCUCUCCUCUCUUCCAGAACAGCUCCUCUUCCAUGUCCCUGUCUGUUCUGCCCUCAUGCAACCCACAGGACCCCCCAGCACACCAGCCCCCAAACCCAGCCCCUCACCACCCUCUACACCAUCCCCUCCCUACCCAGGCCCAACUCUGCCCACCUGACUGGACCACCACGGAGCCCCAGCCAGGCCAUGUCCUCCAUCCCAACCCAGACCCUACUACCCUAGCUUUCCCCUCAGACACCUGGCAGUCCUACCCCAGCCCACAGUGCAGGAUAACUCCCCGGCCAGGGUCACGGUUAGGGUCAGGUUUGACCUCAUCUCCUGUUGUGGCGGAGAGGCAGGACUGGACAUCACACCGCUGGUCAGUCCUUCCCCCGCAUCUCUCCUGUCAGAGGUGAGGAAUGAUUCCUGCCUGUCCCAUAUGGGCCGUUCACAGCCUCCUCCCAGCCCUCCCAGCCUCCUUCCCAGCCUCCCUCCCUGUCCAGCAGCAGCCUACACCGGUGCCCCUUACCUAGCGCCACGGGGCUGAUUGUCCACAACAUGGCUGGACAUCUUCCCUGGUACAAAGAGACGGCAGCCAACAGACAACAGAGGAAAUCAAAGCCUGGCUCUAUAGAGACGCCCUCCUCAGAUCAGAUGCUCCUGUCCCCAUCGCCGGUCUGCAUUGUGAGGUUCUGCUGUCAGCCCUGUUUUGUUUCCCCUCGUAAUAAAUAACGCAGAAAGCUUUUCUUUUCCCUUUAAAGCGGCAAUAGAAAGAGGACUCUUUUGAUGAAGAGCUGGUACCGUUUGAUUCCCAGUUCAAAGGCGCGCAAGGCCCCUUCACAAUAGGAGGGAGUGGGGGGGUUCCCUGCCUCGUGUGCCGUCCCCUCUCAGCCGCGGCUUCCCCGCGCUCUCGCCAUUCUCCCGGUCGCUGAAAGGGAGACGUGUAGCCGAUGGUCAUAAAUCCACACUGACCACCGCACGCUGACGGGGGAAACAGUUAGAGCUACGGUCCACAAUAGAAUAUAGCGGCUUUCCGUCGCAGCUAAUUUACCGUUUAGAAUAGAGAUAAAGGACGGGGCCACUGACAUCUGACUUUUAUGGGGGGCUUUAUGAAAGACUAUGAAAAGAGAGCAAACAAUUGGGAAAUUGUGUAUGGAUUUUCUUUCUCUAUCAGAAAUGAUGAUGCCGCCUGCGCUCUUCUAAGGUCCUUACUACUGAUUAGUAUCGGUUCCAGGUGCGUAGGAGUCAAAGUAAGAACACUGAAAGAGAUUUUGAC
Molecule: long non-coding RNA, 1954 nt
Organism: Oncorhynchus tshawytscha (Chinook salmon)
Lineage: Eukaryota; Metazoa; Chordata; Actinopteri; Salmoniformes; Salmonidae
Source: Ensembl